Molecule: long non-coding RNA, 1631 nt
Organism: Hipposideros armiger (great roundleaf bat)
Lineage: Eukaryota; Metazoa; Chordata; Mammalia; Chiroptera; Hipposideridae
Exons: 3
Source: RefSeq, a predicted model, not a curated record
CCAUGGCUGCUCUUGUCACCACACACUGCUGUGACCCUAAUGCUCAAAGCUGCCCGAGGGGCCCAGGAACUUCCCAGGGUCUGAACCUCCUGCAUCUCCAGAGCUCCUGCAAGUCAGAGUUGGAUCCACAAGGCACGGCCAUGUUGCAGCUUCACACUAGGUCCUGACAAGUUUACUGAGGCAGGAAGAAAGUGCCUUAUUAUUCCCAUUUGGUAAACGGAGAAAGAGGAAUCCAAACCCGUGUCUGACUCAUUCUGGAUCUCAAGGAUAACCACAGACUCAACUUCCCUUGAGCACAGAAGGCGAAAGGAUCACAUGACAAAUUUCUUGGCAGGGGGCCUUUUCUGGAAAGCCAGGCUGGAGCUCUAAGUGCUUCCACAGGCCCUGCUGUUGCUGGGCUUGAAGGAGAAGCUGAGACGGCUGCCUACACCAGGGCAGGAGGCUCUGCAACUGGAAGGUUCAGGCCAUUUCAGAUUUAAGACCUAAAUGCUGUUCAAAUAUUUGCCCAGCACCUCCCAGUGUGCUUUGGAACAAGCAGCAGGAGCAACCCUUGCUGAGUCAUGAAUGCUGAAGUGUUAGACAGAAAUGUGGACGCAAUGCCUUUUCAUGGCUCCCUUGUGAUUAGCCAGGGUCUCUCUCACCAUGGGGCCUGGUUACAAGGAGAGGGCUCUUCUGCUCGGCUGCUGGACAAGGUGGCACCUUCCGUAGUCUUGAGAUGAAGCUGGCCUACCCACACUGACAUCAAGCGGCUGGGACUGCCAGUGCUUUUCUGAGCUACAGAGCUGUUUCCAACAGUCUGUGAGAUUUCUCCUCCUAGGUGCCCUCAAAGCUUCUGAAUUCAUCACAUUCAAAAUAGAACACCCCAAACUUGUCUUCCUGUAUUCUCUCUUUCAGUUACCGGCCUCACCUCCUAGUCACCUUAUUUAGAAAAUGCUGAAUCAGCCUCGAUUCCUCUGCUCCUCUCCUCCUCCUCCGCCCCCUUUGUGUAAUUGAUUUUCCCUCCUGGUUUCUUUGCCUUCAGGAAGCCCCCAAGCCUCCCCUCAUCACCUGGAGUACAGAGCUGACACUGAGUCCUGGCCAUAUCGCUCCCUUCCCCUGCCCUUUUCUGACCCGGGGUGGGUGCAUGACCCAAGCUGAGGUCAUCAGAGCCCUUCCGCAGGAUUCUCCAAGCUGAAGCAGAGAGUUGAACACUUGUUUCCUCUCUGAUUCCUAGCUGGAAGGCUGGGAAUCUAGAGAGGCCUGUGGCCAUGUGCCCUGCUGCCUGCAAAGCCUUAUUUGCAGCAGGGGAGAAGGGGAACACGCUGCAGAGAGUAGCCCUGACAGAGGAAUGCAGAGACAAUAGCUGAGCAGAUGGACUUCCUAAUUCAGCCCCGCCUGAGAUCGGCUCUGUCCUCCUUCCAACCCAUCCUCCUCAGAGUCACCAGGAUUCUGUACCAUUUUCUCCAACUUUUCGUUUUAAAAAAGAUCCAACUACAGAGACAUUCACAGAAUAAUCCAGUGAACACCCACAUAUCCUUCACUCAGAUUCACCAACUGUUAAGAAUUCAGCCACAUCUGUAUCUUCUCUCUGUGUAAACGUACACAUUUUUGUCCUGCUCUAUUUGAAAACAAGUUGCUGAAGUCAGGACACU